Long non-coding RNA from Erpetoichthys calabaricus (reedfish), 1519 nucleotides. RefSeq lists it as uncharacterized. Lineage: Eukaryota; Metazoa; Chordata; Cladistia; Polypteriformes; Polypteridae. The record is from RefSeq and is a predicted model, not a curated record. The transcript has 3 exons.
AGGACACCAACAUGUUUGUUAGUGCUGGUAAAAGUGAAGUCCCCAUGUAGAGAAUCCUUUGCAGAAUAUUGGACAAUGACUGGCACUUAGCACCACUAGAUCCUUUGUCUGGAUUGGAUCUCCAUAUGCAUGCAUGUGAAGAGAAUUCUAUGAGGAAUACUGCAGGGUGACUAGAAAUUGGUCCCACCUGAAACUCUGUCUGGCUAGGAUCUCAGUGUAUGUGUGUGUGUUAAUCUUCAAGGGUGAGAGUAGAUGAACCAAGUAAACGUUCCUGAAUGGAUAUUUGAUGGCAUAAGGAGCAGUGUCGUCACUUUUGGUUGCAACGACCUAAACCCUUCACUUCCUGCUAGAAGCCAUCUUACCACCACCACAACAUCAUGUUAGUCAAGAGACUCAUGUCAGUUUCAGAAUCUUAAAAAGCGACAGCCAAUAUUGGUGACAAGCAAAGAACAAAACUUUGUUGGAUGCCGUUCCUUGGAGGCCUAUAUUCAGAUCAACACUGUUAUGAGACACAAUAUGUCCGUGAAGACUGUAAUGAGUGUUGAAUGACUACGAGAUGAAUGACUGCACGAAGACCUGGUCAGGUAAAGCAAAUGGUCAAAACCGAGAGAUUAAAAAUAGGCUACCAGAAUCAAAGGACAAGAUCAUAAUCAGAAGUUGCUGGCAAAGCAGAAGUCCAAAUCCACUAUGCAUUCCUAAUUCUAUGGUCUACUUGAAAAAUAAAUAAUCUAAUAAAGAUUCUAGACGAUUGAUUUUAUCUCUCCGCCAUAUUUUUAUUGUUGCUAAGGUGAGAACACUCCAAACAGGGUUGCAUAAGCUAGUCAUUAAAAAUGCAUCAAAAAUAAAAUCCUCAUAUGUCAAAACACAAAAAUAGACAAAUAACACUACACACAAUCACACCACUUUAGAGUCACCAGUAAAGUUAAACAUCAUUGGGACCUGAAAAGAGAAUUAGGAGUACCUGGGGAAAUAGCCAAUGAAACACGGGUAGGACAUGCCAACUCCAAACAUACAAUAAGAUGCUGCAGAUGUUCUAUCAGAUGGUUGUGGCGAGCGCCCUCUUCUACGCGGUGGUGUGCUGGGGAGGCGGCAUUAAGAAGAAGGACGCCUCAUGCCAGGACAAACUGGUGAGGAUGGCAGGCUCUAUUGUAGGCAUGGAGCUGGACAGUUUGACAUCCGUGGCAGAGCGACGGGCACUGAGCAGACUCCUGUCAAACAUGGAGAAUCCACUGCAUCCACUGAACAGUAUCAUCUCCAGACAGAGGAGCAGCUUCAGCGACAGACUGCUGUCACUGUUCUGCUCCACUGACAGACUGAGGAGAUCGUUCCUCCCCCAAACUAUGCGACUCAAUUCCACCUGGGGGGGGGGGGGGGGGUAAACGUUAACAUUAUACAAAGUUAUUGUCUGUUUUUACCUGCAUUUUUAUUACUCUUUAAUAUUGUUUUUUGUAUCAGUAUGCUGCUGCUGGAGUAUGUGAAUUUCACCUUGGGAUUAAUAAAGUAUCUAUCUAUCUAUCUA